RNAcentral lists this ribosomal RNA (559 nucleotides) under uncultured bacterium. Its description in RNAcentral is "bacterial SSU rRNA". It matches the Rfam family "Bacterial small subunit ribosomal RNA", at positions 120 to 674 of the family's 1533-position model. The record is from RNAcentral.
GGGAAACUGCCUGAUGGAGGGGGAUAACUACUGGAAACGGUAGCUAAUACCGCAUAACGUCGCAAGACCAAAGAGGGGGACCUUCGGGCCUCUUGCCAUCAGAUGUGCCCAGAUGGGAUUAGCUAGUAGGUGGGGUAACGGCUCACCUAGGCGACGAUCCCUAGCUGGUCUGAGAGGAUGACCAGCCACACUGGAACUGAGACACGGUCCAGACUCCUACGGGAGGCAGCAGUGGGGAAUAUUGCACAAUGGGCGCAAGCCUGAUGCAGCCAUGCCGCGUGUAUGAAGAAGGCCUUCGGGUUGUAAAGUACUUUCAGCGGGGAGGAAGGUGUUGAGGUUAAUAACCUCAGCAAUUGACGUUACCCGCAGAAGAAGCACCGGCUAACUCCGUGCCAGCAGCCGCGGUAAUACGGCGGGUGCAAGCGUUAAUCGGAAUUACUGGGCGUAAAGCGCACGCAGGCGGUCUGUCAAGUCGGAUGUGAAAUCCCCGGGCUCAACCUGGGAACUGCAUUCGAAACUGGCAGGCUAGAGUCUUGUAGAGGGGGGUAGAAUUCCAGGU